GAGGCAGCAGUAGAGAAUCUUGUGCAAUAUACAAACAAGUAUGACACAGAGGUCAUCUAGAUUUUUAGGCCUGUCAAAUUAAGUGCCAGCAGACGCGGUGAGACUUAGGGGCCUAGGCUUUAUUAGAAAAGAGGCGUAAAGGGUGUGUAGGCCUUUUCAUUAUUAAGACCUAAAAUCUUAAACUUAACUUAAAAUAGAAGUUAAUUGGAAUUUUACUGUAGCGGUAGAAUGUGAAGAAAGAGACAAGAACACCUAAAGCGAAAGCAAUUAACUAGCAGAGGGAGUCAAAUAGGCUGAAACACGAGGGUCUGGGCAACAAACAGGAUUAGAGACCCUGGUAGUCCACACUGUAAACGAUGGGGAACAAUUGCUAUUUUAUGCAGCCCCAAUAGGCAGCAAAUCCCCCGCCUGAGUAGUACGAUCGCAAGAUUAAAAUUCAAAAAAUUUGGCUGUUCUCCGAUAUGAUUAGAGGAGCGUGUAGUUUAAUUCGAUAAUCCGCGAGAUACCUUACCCUAACUUGAAUCACCACAGCCCUCCAAAUUAAUUACAGGCAUUGUACCUAUUUUUAAUAUGGCUACAACCUCUUUUUGGAUGGGUAGUGUGACCAACCGGUGUUGCAUGGCCGUCGUCAGUCCGUGUAUUAAUCACAAAACGGACAUAAGCCAUAAUUGUUUUAUAUUUAACAAUUAUGGAUGAAGUCAGGUCUUAUGGCCCUUAUGUUAGGGGAUUAGAAUGCGCUACAAUCACCUGCUCAAUGGUCUACUAUAUACUUUUAGUGAAUACCUACAAAGCGCGGUGGGCGGAUGGCGAUUGGGAUAGUCGCCUGAAGUUGAAUUUAAUAGUAAUCGGGAAGUAGAGCGUCCCGGUGAAACCACUUAACACGGAGUUAGCACAAAUCGCCCGUCACCUUAUCUAAGUUCCUAGGCACGGACACUGCCCAAUGGUUAAAGAAAUGGG
This 957-nucleotide ribosomal RNA is filed under the name Nanozoanthus aff. harenaceus MISE-OSE3. RNAcentral's name for it is "SSU rRNA". It matches the Rfam family "Bacterial small subunit ribosomal RNA", at positions 345 to 1453 of the family's 1533-position model. Lineage: Eukaryota; Metazoa; Cnidaria; Anthozoa; Zoantharia; Nanozoanthidae. The record is from RNAcentral.